Molecule: long non-coding RNA, 2202 nt
Organism: Cyprinus carpio (common carp)
Lineage: Eukaryota; Metazoa; Chordata; Actinopteri; Cypriniformes; Cyprinidae
Source: Ensembl
CAAGUUCUGUUCUGUCUGUGUGUGUGUUCAGGUUCUCUACAGAGGCUCUUCAGCAGCUGGUUUCAGUGGUGUAUGAAGCACAGGAUGAUGAGCUGACAUACUGCUUUCUGAAGAAGGUUUCUGAGGAUCUGACUUCCUGCUCACUGACCUGGGAAGUGAUUCAUUACCUGCUGCAACAUCAAGCUCUAAACUUGAAGUUGGACUUGAGAAAGAGCAAAAUCUCUUGUGAAAACAUCAGAGAACUUCUGCCGGUGUUGGGCAGAAUCCAGCUGAAACGGAUGAGCUCCAGCUUUAUUCUGUCCAUCAUUAUGGAGAUUUACGAGACUCGUUUUCCUCAGUAUGUGUCCAGUCUGUUGAGUUCAACAGGAAACAACAUCAACCUGAAUGGCAGAGUGUUGGACUCUGUUCACUGCGCUGCCCUGCGCUUCACUCUGCAGCACUCCGACACAGUCAAACUCAAUCUGCUCUGGACCUCCAUACCAGAGGAGGAGCUAGAGAGCUUGCUGCCUUUACUCUGCAGAGUCACACAGCUCAGUGUUGACAGGUUGCUGUUGCUGAAGCUGCUGCACUGCUGCAGUUCCUCUGAUCUCCAGCAGGAGGCAGCAGAUGUUCUUCUCUCUGCUCUUCACCACAGACUGGACUUCUCCUGCUGCUCUGCUCUGGAUUUAACAGACACACACAAUCAAGAACAUUUUAAACUAGCUGUAAAAGACUGUAGAAUAAUCUCAUCUGUGCUUCAGAAAACACAAAGCACUGUGAAGUUGAUCUUACAGGACUGUGAGCUCUCUGAGGAGGCCCUGAAACAACUUUGGCCAAUCCUGCCUCAAGUCCAGCUGAGCUGUAGUAAAGCGCUGCUGCUGCAGUUUCUGGCUUGUAUUAGUACAGAUGGAUCUCAGAGAGGCUUUUUGAGGAGUGCUGAUGCUCUUUCACAGGCUUUGGGAGGAGAGAUGGACCUCAGUCACACUCAGAUGGACCAGAGAGCUUGUGAACAGCUGGCACUGUUUCUGGAAUAUUCUGAAGGACUGAAAGAACUGGAUCUCAGUCACUGCAAACUCACUGAUCUCUGCGUGGAGCCGCUGCUGCCACAUCUGCACAAAACCCAGACUCUGGACCUGAGUCACAAUAAUAUCACGGAUGAAUCUGCAAAGAGCAUCCACAGUGUCGUCUGCGCUCACAGCAAUAUUCAGACUGUACGACUCUUCGGAAACAAAAUCAGUGAUAAAAAGCAGUUCAUCAGAGACAAGCGAUUUGAAAUAUGGUGAAGAUCCUGGGCCGGAACCUGACUGAUUUCUCAUUAAGAUGAUAUUUUGUAUUAGGCUUGAUUCAUGAUGAAACAAAAUGAAAUUUUAUCUUUAAUGCAGCACCAGCCUGGUUAAUUAAAACCAGAUUUAUUUAAAUGAAAUGUUUAUUAUAUUACAAAGUGAUGAUAAUGAUUUUUAUGUUGCAAUGUAUUAUGCAAGACUUAUUUCUUGGGAAUGUAAUACUAGUAUCUUCACUGGCUACCGUUCACCGCUCACACCAAGUUCAUUAAGGUUGCUCACCCUCUUACAAACUGACCUCCACUCCUGCUAUUAGUGGGUGAGCAACACCUCAUGCUACUGUAACAGAGGCACAGUGUCAUUUUCCUUAACUUUCACAUUCACCGGUGGUGGAAUGAUCUUCCCAGUCUUUCCUGGACAGCCAAAUGCAGUAUUCAAGAAAUGGCAAAAAAAAACAAUUUUUUUCAUGAGCACUUAACUGUGGAUGUUGUCUGGAAAAAAAAAAAGAUUUCUAUGCUUUUGCUUCUAGACAAUAGCUGCUCCUGAUUUUUAAGUCGCUUUGGUUAAAAGCAUCAGCUACAUGAAUUAAAGUAAACACAGCUCCAGAACUCAAGUCUUUUUUAAUGCACCUAAUUCAGUUGUAUGAAAGCUGUGGGUGUUAUUAUGGAUAUAUUUUUAUUAUUAUUAUGGUUAUUGUUUUUAUACAGCAAAUGUAAAUUUGCAACGCAAAGAAACCUUUUUUUAUCUCUUUAUAUUUUUUUAUCUCUCGAAGCAGUGUGCAUGUAUAAGGUUUUUCAUGUCGUGAUGUUGUGAAGCAGUAAUUUACAUUUGCUUUGCUUUGACCAGAUCUAAUUCAACAAAUGUUAUUAUACCAUAGUAAGUCAAACUGAGUUUUGAGAAAGGCACAACAAUGAUUAUUAAAUAAACUGCUGAAUUUUUACCA